CAGCCGCCGCGGUAAUACAGAGGGUGCGAGCGUUAAUCGGAUUUACUGGGCGUAAAGCGUGCGUAGGCGGCUUCUUAAGUCGGAUGUGAAAUCCCUGAGCUUAACUUAGGAAUUGCAUUCGAUACUGGGAAGCUAGAGUAUGGGAGAGGAUGGUAGAAUUCCAGGUGUAGCGGUGAAAUGCGUAGAGAUCUGGAGGAAUACCGAUGGCGAAGGCAGCCAUCUGGCCUAAUACUGACGCUGAGGUACGAAAGCAUAGGGAGCAAACAGGAUUAGAUACCCCCGUAGUCCCUGUCUCUUAUAC
This 301-nucleotide ribosomal RNA is filed under the name uncultured bacterium. Its description in RNAcentral is "partial 16S ribosomal RNA". It matches the Rfam family "Bacterial small subunit ribosomal RNA", at positions 509 to 807 of the family's 1533-position model. The record is from RNAcentral.